AAUCAACGCUGGCGGCGUGCCUAACACAUGCAAGUCGAACGCGAAAGGGGCUUCGGUCCUGAGUAGAGUGGCGAACGGGUGAGUAACACGUGGGUGAUCUGCCUUCGAGUGGGGGAUAACGUUCCGAAAGGAGCGCUAAUACCGCAUGACGUUCCGGGUUUAAAGACCUGGAAACCAAAGCCGGGGACCACAAGGCCUGGCGCUUGAAGAGGAGCCCGCGUCCGAUUAGCUAGUUGGCGGGGUAAUGGCCCACCAAGGCGACGAUCGGUAGCCGGCCUGAGAGGGCGGACGGCCACACUGGAACUGAGACACGGUCCAGACUCCUACGGGAGGCAGCAGUGGGGAAUUGUUCACAAUGGGCGCAAGCCUGAUGACGCAACGCCGCGUGGGGGAUGAAGGUCUUCGGAUUGUAAACCCCUGUCGAACGGGACGAAAGGCCUCUGGGCUAAUCACCAGAGGAGUGACGGUACCGUUAAAGGAAGCCACGGCUAACUCUGUGCCAGCAGCCGCGGUAAUACAGAGGUGGCAAGCGUUGUUCGGAAUUACUGGGCGUAAAGGGCGCGUAGGCGGCCAUCUAAGUCAGACGUGAAAUCCCCCGGCUUAACCUGGGAACUGCGUCUGAUACUGGAAGGCUCGAGUUUGGGAGAGGGAUGUGGAAUUCCAGGUGUAGCGGUGAAAUGCGUAGAUAUCUGGAGGAACACCGGUGGCGAAGGCGGCAUCCUGGACCAACACUGACGCUGAGGCGCGAAAGCUAGGGGAGCAAACGGGAU
RNAcentral lists this ribosomal RNA (770 nucleotides) under uncultured bacterium. RNAcentral's name for it is "bacterial SSU rRNA". It matches the Rfam family "Bacterial small subunit ribosomal RNA", at positions 28 to 778 of the family's 1533-position model. The record is from RNAcentral.